CAGGUGAGCCCUGGCUGCGCGCGCGGCCCCUCCUCCCCGGCGCCUCCCAGAUGGGCAGCAGGAGGCUCCGGAGGUGGCGCCCAGGCUCUGAGCUACCCUAGGACUGCAGACUAGCGGGCAUUGGCCAGAGACAUGGCCCAGCCACUGGCCUUCAUCCUCGAUGUCCCUGAGACCCCAGGGGACCAGGGCCAGGACCUCAGCCCCUAUGAUGAAAGCGAAGUGCACGACUCCUUCCAGCAGCUCAUCCAGGAGCAGAGCCAGUGCACGGCCCAGGAGGGGCUGGAGCUGCAGCAGAGAGAGCGAGAGGUGACAGG
RNAcentral lists this long non-coding RNA (314 nucleotides) under Pan troglodytes (chimpanzee). RNAcentral describes it as "long non-coding RNA NONPTRT007356". Lineage: Eukaryota; Metazoa; Chordata; Mammalia; Primates; Hominidae. The record is from RNAcentral.